GCAUUUGUGGUUCAAUGGUUGGAUGUUCGUUUUCUGAUCGAGUGAGUCGGAUUCGAAAACCGAUCGAUACA
Trichonephila clavipes is the source of this 71-nucleotide non-coding RNA. The record is from the annotation of a GenBank genome assembly. Lineage: Eukaryota; Metazoa; Arthropoda; Arachnida; Araneae; Nephilidae.